This 804-nucleotide ribosomal RNA is filed under the name Rugamonas rubra. RNAcentral's name for it is "bacterial SSU rRNA". It matches the Rfam family "Bacterial small subunit ribosomal RNA", at positions 59 to 859 of the family's 1533-position model. The record is from RNAcentral. Lineage: Bacteria; Pseudomonadati; Pseudomonadota; Betaproteobacteria; Burkholderiales; Oxalobacteraceae.
AAGUCGAACGGCAGCNCGGGGCAACCUGGNGGCGAGUGGCGAACGGGUGAGUAAUAUAUCGGAACGUACCCUNGAGUGGGGGAUAACGUAGCGAAAGUUACGCUAAUACCGCAUACGAUCUAUGGAUGAAAGUGGGGGAUUCGCAAGAACCUCAUGCUCGUGGAGCGGCCGAUAUCUGAUUAGCUAGUUGGUAGGGUAAAAGCCUACCAAGGCAUCGAUCAGUAGCUGGUCUGAGAGGACGACCAGCCACACUGGAACUGAGACACGGUCCAGACUCCUACGGGAGGCAGCAGUGGGGAAUUUUGGACAAUGGGCGAAAGCCUGAUCCAGCAAUGCCGCGUGAGUGAAGAAGGCCUUCGGGUUGUAAAGCUCUUUUGUCAGGGAAGAAACGGUGGACUCUAAUACAGGCCACUAAUGACGGUACCUGAAGAAUAAGCACCGGCUAACUACGUGCCAGCAGCCGCGGUAAUACGUAGGGUGCAAGCGUUAAUCGGAAUUACUGGGCGUAAAGCGUGCGCAGGCGGUUUUGUAAGUCUGACGUGAAAUCCCCGGGCUCAACCUGGGAAUUGCGUUGGAGACUGCAAGGCUAGAGUUUGGCAGAGGGGGGUAGAAUUCCACGUGUAGCAGUGAAAUGCGUAGAUAUGUGGAGGAACACCGAUGGCGAAGGCAGCCCCCUGGGUCAAGACUGACGCUCAUGCACGAAAGCGUGGGGAGCAAACAGGAUUAGAUACCCUGGUAGUCCACGCCCUAAACGAUGUCUACUAGUUGUCGGGUCUUAAUUGACUUGGUAACGCAGCUAACGCG